GAUGAACGCUGGCGGCGUGCCUAAUACAUGCAAGUCGAGCGAACAGACGAGGAGCUUGCUCCUCUGACGUUAGCGGCGGACGGGUGAGUAACACGUGGAUAACCUACCUAUAAGACUGGGAUAACUUCGGGAAACCGGAGCUAAUACCGGAUAAUAUAUUGAACCGCAUGGUUCAAUAGUGAAAGACGGUUUUGCUGUCACUUAUAGAUGGAUCCGCGCCGCAUUAGCUAGUUGGUAAGGUAACGGCUUACCAAGGCAACGAUGCGUAGCCGACCUGAGAGGGUGAUCGGCCACACUGGAACUGACACACGGUCCAGACUCCUACGGGACGCAGCAGUAGGGAAUCUUCCGCAAUGGGCGAAAGCCUGACGGAGCAACGCCGCGUGAGUGAUGAAGGUCUUCGGAUCGUAAAACUCUGUUAUUAGGGAAGAACAAAUGUGUAAGUAACUAUGCACGUCUUGACGGUACCUAAUCAGAAAGCCACGGCUAACUACGUG
This 497-nucleotide ribosomal RNA is filed under the name uncultured bacterium. RNAcentral's name for it is "partial 16S ribosomal RNA". It matches the Rfam family "Bacterial small subunit ribosomal RNA", at positions 28 to 507 of the family's 1533-position model. The record is from RNAcentral.